CUGGAUUGUCCUCCUUCACCACAGAUUUGAAGUUUUCUACACACAGUUUGCACAAUGGAAUUUGUAUUUAAUUCAAUGGAAGAAUAUCUCCAUGACUAUCACACUUCCGACAGUUUUCGUUUUGCAUAUGAGUAUGACACCAUCAUCCAUCACAAAAGUAUUCCGGAGGGCAACAUUUCUUUCCGUAUUAUCGAAAAUAUGAAUACUUCUAACAUACCAG
This is a non-coding RNA of Pantherophis guttatus, 220 nucleotides long. Lineage: Eukaryota; Metazoa; Chordata; Lepidosauria; Squamata; Colubridae. The record is from RefSeq and is a predicted model, not a curated record.